AUACGGAGGGUGCGAGCGUUAAUCGGAAUUACUGGGCGUAAAGCGUACGUAGGCGGUUGGUUAAGUUAGAUGUGAAAGCCCCGGGCUUAACCUGGGAACUGCAUUUAAAACUGGCGAACUAGAGUUGAGUAGAGGGGAGUGGAAUUUCAGGUGUAGCGGUGAAAUGCGUAGAGAUCUGAAGGAACACCAGUGGCGAAGGCGACUCCCUGGACUCGAACUGACGCUGAGGUACGAAAGCAUGGGCAGCAAACGGGAUUAGAAACCCCAGUAGUCC
Molecule: ribosomal RNA, 274 nt
Filed under: uncultured bacterium
Lineage: Bacteria
Description: partial 16S ribosomal RNA
Rfam family: Bacterial small subunit ribosomal RNA
Source: RNAcentral